Molecule: ribosomal RNA, 192 nt
Filed under: Triticum aestivum (bread wheat)
Lineage: Eukaryota; Viridiplantae; Streptophyta; Magnoliopsida; Poales; Poaceae
Description: partial small subunit ribosomal RNA
Source: RNAcentral
AUGGAGGCAGCGGCGAACAAGCGCAGCGGCAUCGGGUUCGGCGCCACGGCGGCCGCGGAGGAGGAGAAGGGCCGCAAGAGGGGCCACGGAUCCACCGCGCUGUUCGUGGCGGUGGACUACGCCUUCCUGCUCGCCUUCGCCGGGUUCCUCGCCUACCUCGUCGUCUCCCAGAUCCUCCCUUCCGCCAUCUAG